This is a long non-coding RNA of Cygnus olor (mute swan), 1434 nucleotides long. RefSeq lists it as uncharacterized. The record is from RefSeq and is a predicted model, not a curated record. NCBI's taxonomy places the organism in Eukaryota, Metazoa, Chordata, Aves, Anseriformes, Anatidae. The transcript has 4 exons.
CAGCAUCAAUCUGAGGAGUAUCAAGAGAGAUUACAGAGCCCUGGGAGCAGCAGUAAAGGACCUAGGAGUGCAGAUAUUGGAUCAUCCUAGUGCAUCCUAGACUAGACAUAUUAACUAAGGCACAUUGCAGCAGUCAAAGAAGUCAUUUGGCUUGGAAGGGACCUGCAGCAUUUUCCUUUGCUGAUCUGUAGCCCAAGGAUGCAAAAAUCCUUCAUCAACUCAUCGCAAACAUCUCUCCUUAUCUGUUGCUGAAGGGCAGUCUGGUGACGUUCCCACUGACUGGAAGAGGGGAAACAUUACCUUGAUUUUUAAAAAUGGAAAAAAGGAAGACCCAGAAAACUAUAGUCUCACCUCUGUGCCUGGCAAGACCAUGGAGAAGAUCCACAUAAAUGCAGGCUGGGCGGAGAAUGAACUGAGAGCAGCCCUGAGGAGAAGGACCUGGGGGUGUGAAACUCAACAUGAGCCAGCAAUGUGUGCUUGCAUCACGGAAAGCCAACUGUAUCCUGGACUGCAUCAAAAGAAGCCUGGCUAGCUGGUUGAGGCUAGCUGGUAGCCUCUUCUCUGCUCUUGUGAGACCCCACGUGGAGUACUGCAUUCAGCUCUGGGGCCCCCAGCACAAGAAGGACAAGGUCAUAUGAGAAAGAGUCCAGAGGAAAGCCACGAGGAUGGAGCACCUCUUCUAUGAAGACAAGUUCCGAGAGUUGGGUUCAUCCUGGAGAAGAGAAUGCUCCAUUGAGACAUUAUAGCAGCCUUCUCGUACCUAACUGGGGCCUGCAGGAAAGCAGGAGAGGGACUCUUUGUCAGGGAGUGUAGUAUUAGGGCAAGGAGUAAUGGUUUUAAACUAAAAAAGGAUAGAUUUAGAGUAGGUACUAGGAAGAAAUUCUUUCCUAUGAGGAUGGUGAGGCACUGGACCAGGUUGCCCAGAGUAGUUGUGGAUGCCCCAUCCCUGGAGAAACCUGGUCUAGUGGAAGGUGUCCCUGCCCAUGGCAGGGGGGUUGGUAUUAGACAAUCUUUAAGGUCCCUUCCAGCCAAACCAUUUUAUUAUUCUAUGAUUUUGUGUAUCUAGAGUGAGUCUCCUAGUCUUGGCUCAGCCAUGUACUUGUUGCAUAAAAUUGAAUGAGCCAUCCAAUAUCUUGCCUCAGAUUUACCACCUGUGGAAUGGUAUAAAUUAUUUCUCUUUCUGCUUCUACAGUGAUAUUUUACAGUCUCUCUUUCUCUCUCUAUACUCUCACUGCUCUCUUCAUAUUUUUCCAACUGUCAGAUAAUGACAAUGCAAUGCUCUUGGCAUUGUUAUUUUCUCCCAGUAUGUUUUACACAUUACACUUUACAUUUUAAUAAUUGAAUAGAGACCAUAAAUAUCCCUGGGAAAAGGCAAUGGAUCACUGGACUCUGCUCUUACAUGUUUUUAUCUUCUUGGCACCUUAAUUCUUGAUU